This 1363-nucleotide long non-coding RNA is filed under the name Zea mays. RNAcentral's name for it is "long non-coding RNA (ZMAY_LNC005793)". Lineage: Eukaryota; Viridiplantae; Streptophyta; Magnoliopsida; Poales; Poaceae. The record is from RNAcentral.
AUGUGCGGUGUUUUACUUGAGUGGACAUAAACACCAUCUAGGUAUGCCUUAAAUAGAGAGGAUUAUAGGAAACCUGGUAUCACAAAAGGUCAUUAUCUAGCCCAACAAUGUCUUCAUCCACUAGUUGUACUCUAAUGCCCUCUCGUCCGAAUACAAUGCCCUUGAUAUCAGGGAAACAUCAUUUGUGGUUUAAAAGUUGAUCUAUUGUAUUGAAUUAUUUAUAUUCCAAGUUUUUAUCAUCUAUAUGGUGGAAAAAGGUGCCUUACAACCUUAACCUAUGUUUGGACAAUUCACUCAUGCAAUUUGGCUAAAUUUUCCCUGGUCUUUAUUUUAUUUUAUUUUGAGAAACGAUGUGGCAUAUUGAAUAGAGGGGAUUAUAGGAAACCUAGAGGGGAUUAUAGGAAACCUAGAAUCACAAAAGGUCAUUAGCUAGCCCAAUGAUGUCUUCAUCCACUAGUUGUACUCUAAUACCCUCUCGUGCUAAUACAAUGCCCUUGACAUCAGGGAAACGUCAUUUGUAGUUUAAAAGGUUAUCUAUUGUAUUGAAUUCUUUAUAUUCCAACUUUUUGCAUGGUUUAAAAAAUGUGCCUUACAACGUUAACCUAUGUUUGGACAGGUCUCUCAUGCAAUUUGGCUAAAAUUUUCAUGGUCUUUAUUUUAUUUUGAGAAACGACAUUGCAAAUUGAAGUGUGGUGUUUUACUUGAGUGACAUAAACAUCGUUUAAGUAUGCCUUGAAUAGAGGGGAUUAUAGGAAACAUAUUAUCACAAAAGAUCAUUAGCUAGCCCACUAAUGUCUUCAUUCAGUGUGUUGUACUCUAAUACCCUCUCAUUCGAAUACAAUGCCCUCAAUACCAUAGAAACACUAUUUUUAGUUUCAAAGUUGGUCUAUUCGUUUUAAUUCUUUAUAUUCCAACUUUUUAGCAAUUGUAUGAUGGAAAAAAGGUGCCUUACAACCUUAACCUAUGUUUGGACAGAUCUCUUAUGUAAUUUGGCUAAAUUUCCCAUGGUCUUUAUUUUAUUUUGAGAAACAGUGUGGCAUAAUAUAGUGUAGUGUUUUACUUGAGUGGACAUAAACACCAUCUAUGUAUGCCUUGAAUAGUGGGGAUUAUAGGAAACCUAGUAUCACAAAAGGUCAUUAGCUAGCCCAAUGAUGUCUUCAUCCACUAGUUGUACUCUAAUACUCACUCAUGUGAAUACAAUGCAGUCAAUAUCAUAGAAACGUCAUUUGAGGUUUAAAAGCUGAUCUAUUGUUUUGAAUUCUUUAUAUCCCAACCGACCAUUUUCAGGUCAAAAAUUGUAGGUGUUAGCCUUCUGUAUUAUUGAAAAUGGUCAUUCAUGGCAAUUUUCGAAAAAAUGGGGUUG